UACGUAGGGUGCGAGCGUUGUCCGGAAUUAUUGGGCGUAAAGAGCUCGUAGGCGGUGUGUCGCGUCGGCCGUGAAAACUUGCAGCUUAACUGUGGGCGUGCGGUCGAUACGGGCAGACUGGAGUACUGCAGGGGAGACUGGAAUUCCUGGUGUAGCGGUGGAAUGCGCAGAUAUCAGGAGGAACACCGGUGGCGAAGGCGGAUCUCUGGGCCUUACCUGACGCUCAGGCGCGAAAGCUAGGGGAGCGAACAGG
RNAcentral lists this ribosomal RNA (253 nucleotides) under uncultured bacterium. RNAcentral's name for it is "partial 16S ribosomal RNA". It matches the Rfam family "Bacterial small subunit ribosomal RNA", at positions 524 to 776 of the family's 1533-position model. The record is from RNAcentral.